UACAGAGGGGGCAAGCGUUAUUCGGAAUUAUUGGGCGUAAAGGGCGCGUAGGCGGCCUGGCAAGUGGAAGGUGAAAUCCCUCGGCUUAACCGAGGAACUGCCUCCCAAACUGCUUGGCUUGAGACCAGGAGAGGUGAGUGGAAUUCCCAGUGUAGCGGUGAAAUGCGUAGAUAUUGGGAGGAACACCAGUGGCGAAGGCGGGUCUCUGGACAGUUCCUGACGCUGAGGCACGAAGGCCAGGGGAGCAAACGGG
RNAcentral lists this ribosomal RNA (253 nucleotides) under uncultured bacterium. RNAcentral's name for it is "partial 16S ribosomal RNA". It matches the Rfam family "Bacterial small subunit ribosomal RNA", at positions 524 to 776 of the family's 1533-position model. The record is from RNAcentral.